ACAGCCAACUUCUUAAAUUAAAUCCUUAGCCCAUACAUUUAAUUAAAAAAGGCCCAAAGCUAAAAAUAAGAGCAUUAGGCCCACCACUUAUACACUCCCCCAAAAUAAAUACUAAUUAAAUUGGCCCAAAAGCCUUAAAAAAAAUCAGCACCAAAAUACUCCCAUUCCUCCUUCUCCAUCGUGACUUUUCUUCCCCAAACUUUCAUUUCCAAAUCAAAACCCUAACUCGACAAGCACAGCAGCGGCGCUCUCCUUUCCAUAUAUCACCUUCCCCGGCGAAUUCACGCCCGGAGUGACUCCGAUCUCCCUCAAAUCGGGCUUCUCUCUCAUUUUCUUCUCUAUUCUUAAAUUUUAAAAUUCUCCAAUUUGGAGUGAAGAGCAGCGACCCAAUCUCGUCCCUCAUCUCUCUCUCCGUCGGAAUUAACUGCAGGCCCUCUGGAGUUCCCGUCGUCGCCCGACUAUCAUUGGACAACUCUUCCUACUAAGCUAAGUUUUCUUCCUAUCGUUUAGCUUAUUUAGUGGGUCUCAAAUUGGCAGAAGCUAUGGAGAAAAUCGGGUUUAUAGGCUACUUUGCCACUAAAAUAAUGAAAAUGUACCCAUUUUGUUAUUUUUUUCAUAAAUGGGAAAAACACUAUCCGCAUUAGCGUGUCUAUAAGUAAAAACGUCAACACAGUUGGCUUUUUAUAUUGUCGUCGUAUUUUAGGCGUAUUUUCUCCAAAUACAAUUAAGUUCGUGUAUAAUUAAAAAACGCCGUUUAAAUUGGCUUGUUUAGUAAAUUAGAAACGCCGUGUUUAGUAAAUUAGAAACGCCGAAGGAAAUAGCGUGUUUAGAUAAAGACGCCAUCGGUUUUAUUAUUACUAGUAAUUUUUUUAUCAUAAUGACAAUUGACACCUCUCUCUUCUCUCUGCAUGUUUGAUCAGGCAGACAGCUGCCCAAUGCCCACUUGGUUGUUAACUACAUUUCAAAUUCAAGUUGUCCUCUAAUUCAAAGUUAAGGAAUGACAUCUCCAUCGACUUCGGCUCAAAGUUAUGGUGCGAACAAGGGCGAGCACCAUUCAGAGGUCCCACUUUCAAGAGAUGGAACGAUGAUAACAUUGUACUUUUAUACUUUUGCCUUUUAGUCUUAUUAAGUUGGAGUUGUUGUACCGUUAGUCAUCGUGUUUAGAUUUGAAUUCAUUUGUCUCUUCAUCAUGUUCAAUAAUCCAUGCGAGAUGUUUUGAAAUUA
Long non-coding RNA from Salvia splendens (bonfire salvia), 1224 nucleotides. RefSeq lists it as uncharacterized. NCBI's taxonomy places the organism in Eukaryota, Viridiplantae, Streptophyta, Magnoliopsida, Lamiales, Lamiaceae. The record is from RefSeq and is a predicted model, not a curated record. The transcript is spliced from 2 exons.